Molecule: long non-coding RNA, 447 nt
Organism: Dicentrarchus labrax (European seabass)
Lineage: Eukaryota; Metazoa; Chordata; Actinopteri; Moronidae
Exons: 3
Source: RefSeq, a predicted model, not a curated record
UUGUUCAAUACACACUGAUGUCAUUUGUAUCCUCCUCCAGUCCUCGCAGAGACGCCGCCUGCUGUGGCUCAGCACGGCUCCUUGCCUGAAGGCUGGAAGCGCUCCAAGAAGUGGUGGGGAGGGGGUCGCUUGUGACAUAGAAGAGCUGAAGUUUGGAGUAUCGUGGGGCAGAAUGAAUGACCCUCAGCCGCCCCAGCGCCUGAGGGACUGUUGGCUUACUGAUGGCUCUGUUCAUGACGUCCAGACGCAGAUGCUGCAAAAGUUUGUAGGGAGAAGACACAGCUUCUAGGGCGGCCCCCAGCAAAUCCCAAGGGGGGACAGAGGAAAUCGCUUCAUGCACUGCAAAAAAUGUCGAGGUGGGAUUCCCGCCAUCCAGUUGCCCCUGAAUGACCAUGUUUAAACAAAGACAUCAGCAGACUCUCCACUUAUUGCCUGGCAACUACUCAG